GCCAGCGUGGUGUAGUGGUUUGAGUGUUGAACUAUGACUCAGAAGAACAAGGUUCGAAUCCCCGCUCAGCCA
This is a non-coding RNA of Phrynosoma platyrhinos (Desert horned lizard), 72 nucleotides long. Lineage: Eukaryota; Metazoa; Chordata; Lepidosauria; Squamata; Phrynosomatidae. The record is from the annotation of a GenBank genome assembly.